GGGACACGUGGUAUCCUGUCUGAAUAUGGGGGGACCAUCCUCCAAGGCUAAAUACUCCUGACUGACCGAUAGUGAACCAGUACCGUGAGGGAAAGGCGAAAAGAACCCCGGCGAGGGGAGUGAAAAAGAACCUGAAACCGUGUACGUACAAGCAGUGGGAGCCUCUUUAUGGGGUGACUGCGUACCUUUUGUAUAAUGGGUCAGCGACUUAUAUUCUGUAGCAAGGUUAACCGUAUAGGGGAGCCGAAGGGAAACCGAGUCUUAACUGGGCGUUAAGUUGCAGGGUAUAGACCCGAAACCCGGUGAUCUAGCCAUGGGCAGGUUGAAGGUUGGGUAACACUAACUGGAGGACCGAACCGACUAAUGUUGAAAAAUUAGCGGAUGACCUGUGGCUGGGGGUGAAAGGCCAAUCAAACCGGGAGAUAGCUGGUUCUCCCCGAAAGCUAUUUAGGUAGCGCCUCGUGAACUCAUCUUCGGGGGUAGAGCACUGUUUCGGCUAGGGGGCCAUCCCGGCUUACCAACCCGAUGCAAACUACGAAUACCGAAGAAUGUUAUCACGGGAGACACACGGCGGGUGCUAACGUCCGUCGUGAAGAGGGAAACAACCCAGACCGCCAGCUAAGGUCCCAAAGUCAUGGUUAAGUGGGAAACGAUGUGGGAAGGCACAGACAGCCAGGAUGUUGGCUUAGAAGCAGCCAUCAUUUAAAGAAAGCGUAAUAGCUCACUGGUCGAGUCGGCCUGCGCGGAAGAUGUAACGGGGCUAAACCAUGCACCGAAGCUGCGGCAGCGACACUAUGUGUUGUUGGGUAGGGGAGCGUUCUGUAAGCCGUUGAAGGUGUGCUGUGAGGCAUGCUGGAGGUAUCAGAAGUGCGAAUGCUGACAUAAGUAACGAUAAAGCGGGUGAAAAGCCCGCUCGCCGGAAGACCAAGGGUUCCUGUCCAACGUUAAUCGGGGCAGGGUGAGUCGACCCCUAAGGCGAGGCCGAAAGGCGUAGUCGAUGGGAAACAGGUUAAUAUUCCUGUACUUGGUGUUACUGCGAAGGGGGGACGGAGAAGGCUAUGUCAGCCGGGCGACGGUUGUCCCGGUUUAAGCAUGUAGGCGGAGGUUCCAGGUAAAUCCGGUACCUUAUUAACGCUGAGGUGUGAUGACGAGGCACUACGGUGCUGAAGUGAUAAAUGCCCUGCUUCCAGGAAAAGCCUCUAAGCAUCAGGUAACACGAAAUCGUACCCCAAACCGACACAGGUGGUCAGGUAGAGAAUACCAAGGCGCUUGAGAGAACUCGGGUGAAGGAACUAGGCAAAAUGGUGCCGUAACU
RNAcentral lists this ribosomal RNA (1315 nucleotides) under Enterobacter hormaechei. RNAcentral describes it as "partial 23S ribosomal RNA". It matches the Rfam family "Bacterial large subunit ribosomal RNA", at positions 419 to 1735 of the family's 2925-position model. Lineage: Bacteria; Pseudomonadati; Pseudomonadota; Gammaproteobacteria; Enterobacterales; Enterobacteriaceae. The record is from RNAcentral.